GACCAUCCUCCAAGGCUAAAUACUCCUGACUGACCGAUAGUGAACCAGUACCGUGAGGGAAAGGCGAAAAGAACCCCGGCGAGGGGAGUGAAAAAGAACCUGAAACCGUGUACGUACAAGCAGUGGGAGCACGCUUAGGCGUGUGACUGCGUACCUUUUGUAUAAUGGGUCAGCGACUUAUAUUCUGUAGCAAGGUUAACCGAAUAGGGGAGCCGAAGGGAAACCGAGUCUUAACUGGGCGUUAAGUUGCAGGGUAUAGACCCGAAACCCGGUGAUCUAGCCAUGGGCAGGUUGAAGGUUGGGUAACACUAACUGGAGGACCGAACCGACUAAUGUUGAAAAAUUAGCGGAUGACUUGUGGCUGGGGGUGAAAGGCCAAUCAAACCGGGAGAUAGCUGGUUCUCCCCGAAAGCUAUUUAGGUAGCGCCUCGUGAAUUCAUCUCCGGGGGUAGAGCACUGUUUCGGCAAGGGGGUCAUCCCGACUUACCAACCCGAUGCAAACUGCGAAUACCGGAGAAUGUUAUCACGGGAGACACACGGCGGGUGCUAACGUCCGUCGUGAAGAGGGAAACAACCCAGACCGCCAGCUAAGGUCCCAAAGUCAUGGUUAAGUGGGAAACGAUGUGGGAAGGCCCAGACAGCCAGGAUGUUGGCUUAGAAGCAGCCAUCAUUUAAAGAAAGCGUAAUAGCUCACUGGUCGAGUCGGCCUGCGCGGAAGAUGUAACGGGGCUAAACCAUGCAC
RNAcentral lists this ribosomal RNA (742 nucleotides) under Escherichia coli. RNAcentral's name for it is "partial 23S ribosomal RNA". It matches the Rfam family "Bacterial large subunit ribosomal RNA", at positions 451 to 1194 of the family's 2925-position model. Lineage: Bacteria; Pseudomonadati; Pseudomonadota; Gammaproteobacteria; Enterobacterales; Enterobacteriaceae. The record is from RNAcentral.